UAGGGAAUCCUCCACAAUGGACGCAAGUCUGAUGGAGCAACGCCGCGUGAGUGAAGAAGGUUUUCGGAUCGUAAAGCUCUGUUGUUGGUGAAGAAGGAUAGAGGCAGUAACUGGUCUUUAUUUGACGGUAAUCAACCAGAAAGUCACGGCUAACUACGUGCCAC
This 164-nucleotide ribosomal RNA is filed under the name uncultured bacterium. Its description in RNAcentral is "partial 16S rRNA". It matches the Rfam family "Bacterial small subunit ribosomal RNA", at positions 355 to 511 of the family's 1533-position model. The record is from RNAcentral.